This 336-nucleotide ribosomal RNA is filed under the name uncultured Mesorhizobium sp. Its description in RNAcentral is "bacterial SSU rRNA". It matches the Rfam family "Bacterial small subunit ribosomal RNA", at positions 1045 to 1382 of the family's 1533-position model. Lineage: Bacteria; Pseudomonadati; Pseudomonadota; Alphaproteobacteria; Hyphomicrobiales; Phyllobacteriaceae. The record is from RNAcentral.
AUGGCGUGUCGUCAGCUCGUGUCGUGAGAUGUUGGGUUAAGUCCCGCAACGAGCGCAACCCUCGCCUUAGUUGCCAUCAUUAAGUUGGGCACUCUAAGGGGACUGCCGGUGAUAAGCCGAGAGGAAGGUGGGGAUGACGUCAAGUCCUCAUGGCCCUUACGGGCUGGGCUACACACGUGCUACAAUGGUGGUGACAGUGGGCAGCGAGACCGCGAGGUCGAGCUAAUCUCCAAAAACCAUCUCAGUUCGGAUUGCACUCUGCAACUCGAGUGCAUGAAGUUGGAAUCGCUAGUAAUCGCGGAUCAGCAUGCCGCGGUGAAUACGUUCCCGGGCCUU